This 233-nucleotide unclassified non-coding RNA is filed under the name Hevea brasiliensis (rubber tree). Lineage: Eukaryota; Viridiplantae; Streptophyta; Magnoliopsida; Malpighiales; Euphorbiaceae. The record is from RNAcentral.
AUCGAAGCUUUGCUUAGAUAUUUGUUUUGUAGGUAAGCUACUAGGGAAGGUGGCACAGAAAAAAGUGCUGUUUUUUUAUUACAGCAGGUAGAACUGCAUCAAUUUCUUUUAGUUGGAUCAUACUUCAGCAUUGUACCUCCACACUGCCACUGAAAAGGAGAGAAUGUCCUGUCGGUGCCCCUUACCAGGGUUAACUAGGUUUUGCUUAAAUGGGAACAUGAAAAUCACACAGC